Molecule: ribosomal RNA, 492 nt
Filed under: uncultured bacterium
Lineage: Bacteria
Description: partial 16S ribosomal RNA
Rfam family: Bacterial small subunit ribosomal RNA
Source: RNAcentral
AGUGAACGCUGGCGGUAGGCCUAACACAUGCAAGUCGAACGGCAGCACAGUAAGAGCUUGCUCUUACGGGUGGCGAGUGGCGGACGGGUGAGGAAUACAUCGGAAUCUACUUUUUCGUGGGGGAUAACGUAGGGAAACUUACGCUAAUACCGCAUACGACCUACGGGUGAAAGCAGGGGAUCUUCGGACCUUGCGCGAUUGAAUGAGCCGAUGUCGGAUUAGCUAGUUGGCGGGGUAAAGGCCCACCAAGGCGACGAUCCGUAGCUGGUCUGAGAGGAUGAUCAGCCACACUGGAACUGAGACACGGUCCAGACUCCUACGGGAGGCAGCAGUGGGGAAUAUUGGACAAUGGGCGCAAGUCUGAUCCAGCCAUACCGCGUGGGUGAAGAAGGCCUUCGGGUGGUAAAGCCCUUUUGUUGGGAAAGAAAAGCAGCAGGUUAAUACCCCGCUGUUCUGACGGUACCCAAAGAAUAAGCACCGGCUAACUUCGUG